RNAcentral lists this ribosomal RNA (253 nucleotides) under uncultured bacterium. Its description in RNAcentral is "partial 16S ribosomal RNA". It matches the Rfam family "Bacterial small subunit ribosomal RNA", at positions 524 to 776 of the family's 1533-position model. The record is from RNAcentral. RNAcentral also lists the same sequence under 1 other name.
GACGAACCGUGCGAACGUUGUUCGGAAUCACUGGGCUUAAAGGGCGCGUAGGCGGGCGGGCAAGUCUGCGGUGAAAGCCUCCAGCUCAACUGGAGAAGUGCCGUGGAUACUGCUCAUCUUGAGGAGGGUAGGGGCGUCUGGAACGUUGGGUGGAGCGGUGAAAUGCGUUGAUAUCCAACGGAACUCCGGUGGCGAAGGCGAGGCGCUGGACCCUUUCUGACGCUGAUGCGCGAAAGCCAGGGGAGCGAACGGG